This is a non-coding RNA of Pimephales promelas (fathead minnow), 1630 nucleotides long. NCBI's taxonomy places the organism in Eukaryota, Metazoa, Chordata, Actinopteri, Cypriniformes, Leuciscidae. The record is from RefSeq and is a predicted model, not a curated record.
UUGUUAAAUAUAAUUUAGCAACCAGGUGCACGUGAGCGAUGGUUGAGAGUGAGAUGUCCAUUAGGAAACCAUCAUUCUCUUCAAUGGCUCCACAAAAUUUAUACAGUAACUCUUCUGUGGUGCGCGAGGAGAGGAUCUGCAAGUAAUGAUGGCAGGCCAAUUCUGACUGUGACGUCAUCUUUGUUUCAACUGUUCCUGCAAAGGCGACCUGUUACACAGUAUCUGGGUCUGUUUUUUUAACUGAACAAGGCAUCGAUUUCGUCCAUUUUUCGAUGGACUGGAAAGAAUUGGAAAUCUUUUUUUCUUCAACAUCUUCCUGAACUGAAGUGAAUUGUGUUUCAUAACAAGAACAGAAGUUGAAUGGAAUUUAAGUACCCCAUAUUAUAACUGUAUUAUUUUCAUUAAUUGUACAGCAUCAUUUUUGUGUAUUGCUUCUCUGUCUAACAGUAAAGUGCUGACUUUUUUAUUUAUUUAAUUUUUUUGUAUUUUAAAAGUAAAACUCCAUGGACGCUUCUCAAUAUCCCUCCUCGUCUCCUCGCUCCUCCCUCCUAUGACCCGUAAACCGAUCGAGCUCAGCCAUCUUUAAGGACAUCUCAAUUCUCUAAUUCCACCGUGAGGAGUCGAGGAUCGAGGAGUGAGGAGACUUCCAGAGGAGGCAUGAGUGAGGAUACACAGGUGUAUCCUAUGCGGAGCUGUUUUAUUGACUAAACGUGACGCUCGUGUCAAUUCUCCUCCCCUUCACAUCGAUCACAAUCAUUUUAAUUUAUAAUUUACCUUUGAAGUUUAUAUAAACCACACAUCUCAGAUAUUUAAACAGUGUAGCCUUUCUUUAUUAAUAUUCAUUAUGAAUUUAUUAAAAAACCAAACUUCAACAACAUAAGGGCAGAUCCGGCCAGUGAUCAAGUAUUCCAAUGUAAAAAACACUCUUUAUAACUUCCUUCAACUGUAAGUUUUGAGCAUAGCAGGCUUGUGGGCACUUUCUGAAAAAAAAGGCAUCCCAUGUAAUUUUAUUCUAGAAGGACAUUUAUAUAAUAUUGUUUUAUGUACAGUCUUACAAUUGGUUCCACUUGUGUUACAGUUAUCAGGUGAUGGAUUCAACACUGUAAAAUGAUCAAGUAAAUAAAUAGUGAUUAAGCACAUUGUGAUUCUGUGCAUGAGGAUAAACCUUUGUGAAGGUGAUAUGUUUUUAACAUAUACUUGUAAAUUCUGUUUGAAAAUAAAAGUGGUAAAGGAGCACUUGGUCUGUACCAUGAUGACAGAUGAACAAAGUGACUUUUUUGUCAGACAUGUCACUUCUUUCAUCUGCUCGCAUCUGAUUGGUCCAAUUUCAGUUUGCAAUCUCUAACUCAGAACAUAACCUGCCCUGGAGCAGGCAUGGCAAUGAACCCAGCUAACCAAGCCACUUUAAUGGUCCAGGAUUGGUGCAAACUAAACUUAAACUUACCUGGCUAGCCAGCUAAACCGGCUUCAUGGUAUAGACCCCCUGAUUCAACUCCUGAUUUAAAUAACUGGCAAUUUGCUAAAAACUGAUCACAAUGUUGGGGAACUCCAAGGAAAAUGUUCAGGCAACAUUAAAACAUUGUGCAUGACCAUCCUUUAUGUCUUACACUAUUUAAAAAAAAAAAAAAAA